UGUAAGCGUAUGCCAAAGUUGUUGCAGUUAAAACGCUCGUAGUCGGAAUUUGGCAGUUCCGGAUGUGUGCACGUCGUGUGCGCACUUCGCGGGGAUUGCUUUUGUGGUCUUGCGUAGGAUGAGGCACUUUUAUUAGUGAACGUCCUCACGCAACCACUUUUUACCGUGAGAAAAUCAGAGUGCUCAAAGCAGGCAUUUGCCGUGAAUGUAUUAGCAUGGAAUAAUAGAAUAGGACUUGGUUCUAUUUUGUUGGUUUGUUGGGACUGAGUAAUGAUUAAGAGGGACAGUUGGGGGCAUUUGUAUUUCGGUGCUAGAGGUGAAAUUCUUAGAUUACCGAAAGACAAACUGCUGCGAAAGCGUCUGCCAAGGAUGUUUUCAUUGA
This 382-nucleotide ribosomal RNA is filed under the name uncultured eukaryote. RNAcentral's name for it is "partial 18S ribosomal RNA". It matches the Rfam family "Eukaryotic small subunit ribosomal RNA", at positions 592 to 976 of the family's 1831-position model. The record is from RNAcentral.